RNAcentral lists this ribosomal RNA (215 nucleotides) under uncultured Polaromonas sp. RNAcentral describes it as "partial 16S ribosomal RNA". It matches the Rfam family "Bacterial small subunit ribosomal RNA", at positions 190 to 407 of the family's 1533-position model. The record is from RNAcentral. Lineage: Bacteria; Pseudomonadati; Pseudomonadota; Betaproteobacteria; Burkholderiales; Comamonadaceae.
CGGCCGCGUCGACCAAGACCUCGCGCGAUUGGAGCGGCUGAUAUCAGAUUAGGUUGUUGGUGAGGUAAAAGCUCACCAAGCCGACGAUCUGUAGCUGGUUUGAGAGAACGACCAGCCACACUGGGACUGAGACACGGCCCAGACUCCUACGGGAGGCAGCAGUGGGGAAUUUUGGACAAUGGGCGAAAGCCUGAUCCAGCAAUGCCGCGUGCAGG